This 303-nucleotide ribosomal RNA is filed under the name Citrobacter braakii. RNAcentral's name for it is "bacterial SSU rRNA". It matches the Rfam family "Bacterial small subunit ribosomal RNA", at positions 11 to 304 of the family's 1533-position model. Lineage: Bacteria; Pseudomonadati; Pseudomonadota; Gammaproteobacteria; Enterobacterales; Enterobacteriaceae. The record is from RNAcentral.
GUUUGAUCCUGGCUCAGGACGAACGCUGGCGGCGUGCCUAAUACAUGCAAGUCGAGCGGACAGAUGGGAGCUUGCUCCCUGAUGUUAGCGGCGGACGGGUGAGUAACACGUGGGUAACCUGCCUGUAAGACUGGGAUAACUCCGGGAAACCGGGGCUAAUACCGGAUGGUUGUUUGAACCGCAUGGUUCAAACAUAAAAGGUGGCUUCGGCUACCACUUACAGAUGGACCCGCGGCGCAUUAGCUAGUUGGUGAGGUAACGGCUCACCAAGGCGACUAUGCGUUGCCGACCUGAGAGGGUGAU